Molecule: non-coding RNA, 571 nt
Organism: Arachis ipaensis
Lineage: Eukaryota; Viridiplantae; Streptophyta; Magnoliopsida; Fabales; Fabaceae
Source: RefSeq, a predicted model, not a curated record
CAAUUCCUCUAAAUUGUUCCAUAGGAUCGGAAAAGAGCUAUUGAACUGAGUAACUUUUCCAUUUUGCUCAUUAGAAAGAUGGCCAUCAAGUUAACUUUAGCGAACAUUUUCUCACUUCUCCUUUUGAUUUCAGGCAUGUUGAUCACAAAUCAAGUGGCUAAAGUAAUGGGUACGGCAUGCAAAGAAUCAUGGAGGGAUGUGGAAGGUUGCAAAGAAGUUGGUUAUCUAACUUGUAAGAGGAGUUGUGUUUGGAAGCAUGGCUUUGAUUCCUAUGGUUUUUGCGAAAAAUCAAGUUGUAUUUGCUACUACACAUGUUCUGGUAAUUGAUUAGUUAUUUUGAUGCUUAGAACUGCCUAUGGGACAUUAAGAAAAAACAUAUGAAAGAUUAGAUAUAAUAUAUUUGAAUAAUUCUCUUUCAAAGCAUAUGUAUUGUUAGUGUUGCAAGUGUGAGGAGUGUUGAAGUUAGUCUCACAUCAAAGAAAGCAAGGAAGAGUAAGGAGUUUACAAGAUAAGAGAUCUAUUAACUUGACACUUUAAAAUUUUGAGUUGGAUGUGGUGUCUUCUUAUCUUA